AGCUCCAAUAGCGUAUACUAACGUUGUUGCAGUUAAAAGCUCGUAGUUGGAUUUCUGUGUGGGUGAGGCGGCCGGCCACUCGUGGUUGUAGCUAGUUAUCACCUGUACAUCUUGUCACAAGCCACGCUGGUCUUAAUUGAUUGGCGCUGGGGACUGACUCGUUUACUUUGAGAAAAUUAGAGUGUUCAAAGCAGGCUAUCGCCUUGAAUAUAUUAGCAUGGAAUAAUGAUAUAGGACUUUGGUUCUAUUUUGUUGGUUGUUCGAGAACCGAAG
Molecule: ribosomal RNA, 273 nt
Filed under: uncultured eukaryote
Lineage: Eukaryota
Description: partial small subunit ribosomal RNA
Rfam family: Eukaryotic small subunit ribosomal RNA
Source: RNAcentral